GCUGUGGGCCCCCCUGCCAGCAGUGACAGUGAGGAGAUGGAGGACAGACAGGGGUUUGGGCGAGUGUUGGAAACGCCAAGACCCAGACAGGACCCCCUGGGGCGCAGUGACAACGGCUACAGGUCCUCUCCAGACCCUGCCUCAAAGCCACAGAAAGCUGCAGCUGAGGCCCUCGAAAGCAGCUCUGAGCUGGAGCAGAUCUUCAAAAGCUUUGCAGGUGUCCAGAGUGAGAGUGAAGAGGAUGCAGAUUUCCACACAGUGAACCGCUCCUUCAAUAUGACAUGUGGGGUGUGGGAGGGCUCAGGACAAAGGGAGGAGGAGGGGACCUCUGAGUCGGACUACACCCAGUCUCCUGUGGAGCCUUCCAGCAUGUUCUACACCCCCAACCCAGAGCAGAGGAACAACCCAUCCAGAGAUAGCCAGGUCUAGUAGUUCUUAGUUAACGUAAUAGUUACAAUGCCUUCAAAAGUAUUCAUACCCCUUGACAUAUUCCACAUUUUGUUGUGUUACAGCCUGAAUUCAAAAUGGAUUAAUAGAUUUUUGUUCUACCAUAAAAAAAAAAUUUAAAUCACCUUUAUUUAACCAGGUAGGCAAGUUGAGAACAAGUUCUCAUUUACAAUCGCGACCUGGUCAAGAUUAAGCACAGCAGUUCGACACAUACAACAACACGGAGUUACACAUGGAGUAGAACAAACAUACAGUCAAUAAUACAGUAGAAAAAGAAGUCUAUAUACAAUGUGCGAAAAUGAGGUGAGAUAAGGGAGGUAAAGGCAAAAAAAGGCCAAGGUGGUGAAGUAAAUGGUAGAUUUGCAGUGGAAGAAUGUGCAAAGUAGAGAGAAAUAAUGGGGUGCAAAGGAGCAAAAUAAAUAAAUACAGUAGGGGGAGAGGUAGUUGUUUGGGCUAAAUUAUAGAUGGGCCAUGUACAGGUGCAGUAAUCUGUUAGCUGCUCUGACAGCUGGUGCUUAAAGCUAGUGAGGGAGAUAAGUGUUUUCAGUUUCGUCGAUUUUUGUCGUUCGCUCCAGUCAUUGGCAGCAGAGAACUGUAAAGAGAGGCGGCCAAAGGAAGAAUUGGUUUUUGGGGGUGACCAGAGAGAUACACCUGCUGGAGCGCGUGCUACAGGCUAUGGUGACCAGCGAGCUGAAAUAAGGGGGGACUUUACCUAGCAAAGACUUAUAGAUGACCUGCAGCCAGUGGGUUUGAUGUAGCGAGGGCCAGCCAACGAGAGUGUACAGGUCGCAGUGGUGGGUAAUUAUAUGGGGCUUUGGUGACAAAACGGAUGGCACUGUGAUAGACUGCAUUCAAUUUAUUGAGUAGGGUAUUGGAGGCUAUUUUGUAAACGACAUCGUCGAGGAUCGGUAGGAUGGUCAAUUUUACGAGGGUAUGUUUGGCAGCAUGAGUGAAGGAUGCUUUGUUGCGAAAUGGGAAGCCAAUUCUAGAUUUAACUUUGGAUUGGAGAUGUUUGAUGUGAGUCUGGAAGGAGAGUUUACAGUCUAACCAGACACCUAGGUAUUUGUAGUUGUCCACAUAUUCUAAGUCAGAACCGUCCAGAGUAGUGAUGUUGGACGGGCGGCAGGUGCAGGCAGCGAUCGGUUGAAGAGCAUGCAUUUAGUUUGACUUGUAUUUAAGAGUGAACCUGUUUUUAGAAAUGUUUGCAAAUGUAUUGAAAAUUAAAUCCAGAAAUAUCUCAUUUACAUAAGUAUUCACACCCCUGAGUCAAUACUUUGUAGAAGCACCUUUGGCAUUACAGCUUUGAGUUCUCUUGGCUAUGUCUGUAUCAGUUUUACACAUUUACACCCAAAGCAUGAUGCUGCCACCACCAUGGUUCACAGUAUGGAUGGUGUUAGAUCGGUGAUGAGCAGUGCCUGGUUCAGGCCAAAGAGUACAAUUUUUUGUCACAUCAGACCAAAGAAUCUUUCACGUGCCUUUUUGCAAACUCCAGGUGUGGUGUCAUGUGCCUUUUAAUCAGGAUUGGCUUCCACCUGGCCCCUCUCCCAUAAAACCCAGAUUGGUGAAGUGCUAUAGGAGAACAACAGUCUCUCUAUCUCAGCCAAGGAACUCUGUAGUUCUGCCAGAAUGGUCAUUUGGUUCUUUGCCACCUCCCUGACCAAGGUCCUACUUGCCCGGUUGGAAGGCCAGCUCUAGGCAGAGUCUGGGUAGUUCCAUAUUUUUUCCAAUGAUGGAGACCACUGUACUCUUUUAAACUUUCAAUACUGUAGACAUUGUUUUAUACACUACAUGUCCAAGUGUGUGUGUGUGUGGACACCCCUUCAAAUUAGUGGAUUUGACUAUUUCAGCCACACCUUUUGCUGACUGGUGUAUAUAAUCAAGCACACAGCCAUGCAAUCUCCAUAGACAAGAAUUGUCAGUAGAAAUGCCAGUACUUAAGAGCUCAGUGACUUUCAAUCAAAUGUAUUUAUAAAGCCCUUCUUACAUCAGCUGAUGUCACAAAGUACUGUAUAGAAACCCAGCCUAAAUCCCCAAACAGCAAGCAAUGUAGGUGUAGAAGCACUUUCAAUGUGGCACUGUCAUAGGAUGUCACCUUUCCAACUAGUCAGUUUGUCAAAUGUCUGCCUUGCUGUUAUUGUGAAAUGGAAACGUCUAGCAACAACAGCUCAGCUGCGAAGUGGUAGGCCACACAAGCUCACAGACCGGGACUGCAGUGCGCUGAACCGUGUAAAAAUUGUCUGUCCUCUGUCGCAACACUCACUACUGAGUUCAAAACUGCUUUUGGAAGCAACAUCAGCGCAAUAACUGAAAUCCAUGAAAUGGAUUUCCAUGGCUGAGCAGCCGCACAAAAGCCUAAGAUCACCAUGCGCAAUGCCAAGCGGGGACCAACUCCAUAUUAAUGCCCAUGAUUUUGGAAUGAGAUUGUUUGAAAAGCAGGUGUCCACAUACUUUUGGUGUGUAUAUGUCUCAUCACAAGUAUAUCUUGGAGCUCUGCAGACAGUGCCUUGGACUUCAUGUUAUAGUUUCUGCUCUAUAUGUGAAAUCAAAAUAUUUCUCUGUCCGCUUUUGUAUAUAAUCUAUACUGAACAAAAAUAUAAACGCAACAAUUUCAAUGAUUUUACUGAGUUACAGUUCAUAUAAGGAAAUCAUUCAAUUGAAAUAAAUUAGGCCCUAAUCUAUGGAUUUCACAUGAGUGUGCAGGGGUGCAGCCAUGGGUGUGACUUGGAAGGCAUAGGCACACCCACUGGGGAGCCAGGCCCAGCCAAUCAGCAUGAGUUUUUCCCCACAAAAUGGCUUUAUUACAGACAGAAAUACCCCUCGGACGAUCCCGCCUAUGAAGCAGGAUGUGGAAGUCCUGGGCUGCUGUGGUCUGCAGUUGUGAGGCCCGUUGGACGUACUAUCAAAUUCUCUAAAACAACUUGAGGCAGCUUAUGGUAGAGAAAUUAACAUUCAAUUAUCUGCCAACAGCUCUGGUGGACAUUCCUGCAGUCAGCAUGCCAAUUGCAUGCUCCCUCAACUUGAGACAUCUGUGGCAUUGUGUUGUGACAAAACUGCACAUUUUAGUGGCCUUUUAUUGUCCCCAGCACAAGGUGCACCAGUGUAAUGAUCGUGCUGUUAAAUCAGCUUCUUGACAUGCCACACUUGUCAAGUGGAUGGAUUAUCUUGGCUACGGGGAAAUGCUCAUUAACAGGGAUAUGAACAAAUUUGUGCACAAUUUGUGAGAAAAAAGCUUUCUUUUUGUACUUACGGAAAUCUUUUGGGAUUUUUUUAUUUCAGCUCAUGAAACAUGGGCCAACACUUUACAUGUUGCGUUCAUAUUUUUGUUCAGUGUAGAUCAUGUAUUCUAUUGUACUUGGUACUGAUUCAUAGAUUUUCUGUUUUCUUGCUUGAUCGUGUGACAUUUAUUGAUGAAAUGUUUGUUUUCACUUUUCAUUCAUGCACUUUCUUGCACUUAUUUUUUGGGCACAAUGACAUUUUAAUAAACAACUUUAUUUUGCAUUCAAGCCUCAGUUUUGGAUUUAUUUGUUUUUUCGGCAGUGUGCGGGUCUCCACCUCUUCCAAUAGUUUCUGCUCUGGCAUGCACUGUCAACUGUGGGACCUUAUAUCGACAGGUGUGUUUCUUUCUAAAUCAUGUCCAAACAAUUUAAUUGGCCA
This is a long non-coding RNA of Oncorhynchus kisutch (coho salmon), 4101 nucleotides long. Lineage: Eukaryota; Metazoa; Chordata; Actinopteri; Salmoniformes; Salmonidae. The record is from Ensembl.